AGCCCCGUGGUGUAGAGGUCUAGCAUUUCGGGCUUUGGACCCGGAGACAAAGGUUCGAAUCCUUUCGGGGCUA
Molecule: transfer RNA, 73 nt
Filed under: archaeon CG2_30_31_98
Lineage: Archaea
Also listed under: 2 other names
Description: tRNA-Gln
Rfam family: tRNA
About the family: Transfer RNA (tRNA) molecules are approximately 80 nucleotides in length. Their secondary structure includes four short double-helical elements and three loops (D, anti-codon, and T loops). Further hydrogen bonds mediate the characteristic L-shaped molecular structure. tRNAs have two regions of fundamental functional importance: the anti-codon, which is responsible for specific mRNA codon recognition, and the 3' end, to which the tRNAs corresponding amino acid is attached (by aminoacyl-tRNA synthetases). tRNAs cope with the degeneracy of the genetic code in two manners: having more than one tRNA (with a specific anti-codon) for a particular amino acid; and 'wobble' base-pairing, i.e. permitting non-standard base-pairing at the 3rd anti-codon position.
Source: RNAcentral